AAAACGUAAUAAACUGUCUAGUUUAAAUCAAUUCCGCCCUUUUGGGGAUUGAUUUAAAAUAUAUUACUUAAAAUUCCAUCCGGAUUCUUAGACCUGACCUGACACACUCGUGGGAAAUGAAUGUGGCAUCAUUGGUAGAGUUAAAUUCUCUACUGAUAACAAUUCAGUUACAACCAAUGCCACAACACUUUCUUAUUAGCUUUUUUAUUCACAUUAUAGGAUUAAAUAUGAUAAUACUGUAAAUGCAAGAACACUAAUAUACAAAAGCAGCUUAGUUAUUACAAAUGUACAGAUAAUAUUUUAAUACAGAAAUAUUUAAAAAUUAACCUUCAGCUAGCAAUUGUAGAACAGCCUUAUUGUACUGGUUUGUUUUACAGCAAUGCGUCAAAGGAGCAUGAUUGGCUAGAGUUUUCAUUUUUACCUGGGAAUCACCUAUGGCACAAGCCCUGCUGUAACGAUACAAGGACCUGUGUCUUCACCUCAAGUCCUAAUCUCGGCUUCUCAACACAGAAACACAACCAGCUCCUGUAUCAUUGUUUGUAUGAGGUGUGUGUUCGCUGUUUUCCUCAUCAAGAAGUAAUGAUACUUCUCUAUUGGGUUAAAUUAACCAGUAAGCUAACAUUAUUUUCCAUAGGAGGAUUUAGACCAUUGUUAUUCAGGUUAUGUAUGGGUUUUUUUGCCACUUAUCAUAUCAAUUCACUCGUGUAUAUUUUCUGUAAAUAAAGCUAUGAAACACAAGUAUUAAUGUAUAUACUUGUAUAUACUUAUACAUAAAUAUUUUUGCUUAGAAUUUUAGUUAUUCGAAUUUGAUACUUAAAUUGUAAUUAAAGAAAAAACUCAAAAAAUACUAUAGGCUUGCUAGUUAACCAGUUGUUUUCAAUUGCAUUACCUGCGAUUUCAAGUGUUCUUAAAAGCUGUUAGCAAGCAAGUAAUAUUUUUGCUUUCCUAAUUGAAAUAUCUCACACUCUUUGCAUUUUGAGCCAGUCUUUCAUAUGUAUGUUUGCUGCAAAAUGUGAUGAGCUUGUACAUCAGCUGCACUAAACAUGACUCGGCUUGACUUUCUAUCACCUCAAGAAUUAUAUGCAUUGAAUACUUUAAAGAUCUAAAAUGAUUUAAUAACAAUUAAGAGGUGAUAAAUAAAUUUAUUUGAUGGAUUAAUAAUUCUUUUGCGUUUAAAAUAGUAGCUGUAUUGCUCAAUAUUUUUACACCUGCUCACUACUGUUGCAAACAAAAAACUACGUGUUAAAACUUUUGUUAAUAAUAAAUUGAAUUUUUUAAUAAUUUUCCCAAAUAUCAGAAUUGUUUAUUGUUUUGAGUAUUCAAGUAAUAUGUAAAUACUAUCGCACAAUGUACUCACAGAGUUACUGACAGAUCUGUGAAUUACCUAGGCUUAUCAAUCCUCUCCUUGACGUGUUAACUUUAAUAUUAACGGUCAGAUUCAUAGUAUUAGUGUAUCUAGACUGUACACACGUACCACAGCACGCUUCGCUACAUCACACAAAGCGCAGUUAUAAUCUGGGUUUUAAUGACUUAUCUACCAUUGCAGAUAUACUGUCCAUGCAUCAAAACAACACAAUCACUUUGUGUAAAAUAAACUGUAUCUGUACUUACAUAUACUGAAUGUACAGAUUAUAGUUUUUUACCUACACCCACAUGAAUUAAAUUUGCCUACUUUCAGUUUUCACUGAGUUUCUCACAAGAAAAUAUUAAAAUUUUAAAACUCUCUCAGUAAGAAUAAAAAAUGUCAUCAUUGUCAUCUGUGCAGAGCAAUCUUUUAUGUAUAAAUCCUAAGUUAAUAUAAACAAUAGUAUUUAAAAUUCACGGCUGACUAUCUGAAGUAAUAUUAAACUUUGGUAAUGUAAUUUCUGAACCUACAUCUAUUUUCUACAGCCAUAAAUUCCAACAUGGAGGUUUUGAAAGUGAACAGCCUUUCAACAGUGCACUGUAAGAAAAACAAUCUGUGCAGUUGGACUUUUGGAAACUUUUUCUGCAACUGGCAAUCUUCAAUCAAAAUUUGUAAAAAUUAAAAUAAAAGAACUUACAUAAUAAUGUAGAUUUGAAUAAAAACAACAGAGUAUUUCUGCGGUGUUGCCACAAAUUUCAGAAGUUGAUUACUUACUCCAAAAUAAGUAAAAUGUUCCGUAAAUAUGUGUCUUGGGUUUGCCAUCUGUUUAUAUGUGUUUUGAGUUACAUCAUCGUAUUAUUUUAUUUAUUAGUCUUACUAAAACCUGACUUAGAUAAAAGAAUAAAGGAAAUAUUUUAACUAGUUUCAAAAUAGUGACUUUUACAUGCACUUUUACAUCAAGUUGCCCGAAAGAAGUAGCAAGAAAGUCAUAUGAUGCAUAAGAAGUACCUAAAAUGACAAAACAUUUGGUAUUUCAUUUAUUUAACUCUGUAUGAUAAGUUCCCUAGCUUUUGAACCAAGAACUUUGACACACUUGUUUAGUAGAAAUUUUUUACUUAUUUUGGUGUAAGUAUUCACCUCCUGAAGUUUGGUGUAAUGUCAUGUAUAUACUCUGGAAAUAUAUUCAAAUGGAGAAAAAGUAUAAGUCUUUUUUAAAUAAUAGUUGGAAUGUUAUGUAAUAUAUUUGUGCUUGAUUAUACAAUUAUUUUUGGAUUUUGGUCCAAAUUUUUUUGGACAGUAUAUGUGUUAUUGGAGAUACUAAUCGUUCUACUGAAUUUAAAAAAAGUAUUUUGAGGAGAAUUUGUUUAAAUGGAAAAUAAUGAGGGGUGCUUCAUAAUUAAAUUAAUCUUCUUAAAGGGUUCUGGCACAAUAUCCUUCUCAGUCUCAUUGUAGAUAUCCCAUUUGUUCAGGAGGGCUGACAUUUCCUGUUCUUUAUCUUAAAAUAGAAUUAAACAAAACUUAAAAUAGUAGUCCUGGGGGGAUAUCAACAAAAAUGUGUCAAUGUACAUGUCUAACCAUUAAGUUCGAUCCCUUCCAAAAGUAGUACAUAAAUUCUACAUUUCACAGAAAUCUGUUGAUUCAAGUAAUUUUCUAAUGUCAAGGACCAUAUGUAGAUAUGUUAAACAACACUUUUAUAUACAUAGAAAAGUACAAAGAUCUAAAACUUCAUCAAUAGAUUUGAUCUCCUUUGUAUUUUUCUUGAGAAGUUUAUAACAUUUAUCAAACUUAAAUAUUCCUUUGAGAGCUGACUACUUCUGAUUCACAUGUUAUCAUGUAAUUACAAUUAGAAGUGAUAAAAGUGUUUAAACAGGUUUCAUUAUCAAACUUUCAAAUAGCAUAGAAAGCUAUCACCAUUUCUCUUGCAGACCACAUCUAAAAAUUAACAGUGUUCUCCUUUUUUACCAAUACUGGUAUACACACUAUAUUUUUUUAGUUAUUCAUUAUCAGGAAAGAAUAGACGAUUUGUAGAUUCAGAGAGCAUAGGGAUCAAGAAACAAGAAAUAUUCUUAAAUUUUCAAAAAUUUCUCAGGGUACAGUCAUUUGAUCCUAGGCACUCAUGGAAUACUCCAUAUCUGUCUUUCUUCGCCCAGGUACAUCAAAGAAUACCUAACAGGGCAAACAUGUUUAUAUAAAAUAUAAAAAUUAGAUCUAGCAUUGAAUAUCAAUAUAUACCAUUUCAGUCCUUGAAAUCCCAAGUCUACCCUCCAAAAAAAGGAAAUAAAUAUUCAUUAAAAUUGGUUUAGGUGUUUAGGCAGGUACAGAUUUUUAUUAAAUAAAAGUACGCUUUCCAGAAAAUAAUGUAAUAGAUUUUACUUUUAAAAAGGUAUUAUUUCAAUUCGUUGUCAACCUCAUAGGAGUGUUGCCAUCUCUUUUGCAGUAAUCAUUAGUGAUAAAAGGUGGGCAAUUAAUAUAUUAUAAUAUUAUAUUGUCAAGGUUGUGAGAGUAACAAAGGAAGUUUGGCUCUUCCUUUGGCACUAAGUCAUCAAAGCUGUGAUAGUGAUAAAGAAAAUUUUCUGGGAGAAAUAGUGGUAUUUCACUUUAUUGCUUUUACCUAAAGUCUGUGGUAGUGAUUAAAAAGGUACAAUUGCUUCUGUACCGCAUAAUUUUUUUGUGUAUCAUUAAAUGUACAGUACUACCAAUAUUUGCACUUGUUCUACUUUCCACAUCCUCACUCAAGUUUACAGCUUUAGGAGAUGAAUAGACGGUUAAAAGUGAUCGGUAUCUACAUAUCAAUAACAUGAAACUAGCCAUAACGAUAACAAAAUAACUAAAAAUCUUUUUUUCAGUUUUUGUAAAGUAACUUAUUAUUAUUUAUUAUUUAUUUUAAACAAAUAAAUUUUUUCAUUUACUUAAAUAAUUUUUAUACCGUUAAAAGUACUCAAAUUUUAUUUUUAACCAUUCAAAACAAAGCUGUACAAACUAUCUAUUAUAUUUAUAUGUACCAACAUAAAAAAAUUGAAUGGAUUAAAAAGAGUGUGGGAUGAAUAGUUGUGGCUUCAGCACAUGGCUAACUUUCCCUAUUACAGCAGCGAACACACAUUGGCUUUGCUUUGCUAACAUGGCAUUUGAAUCUGACCAACCAUUUCAUCUUCAUAUUGUUACUUACACAUUUUUUAAACUUAGACUAACGCUGUGCACGUUCAUGCACGAUGCACAUUACCCCUGUAUAGCGCGACCUUGUACAGUCAGUCCAAAAAUCAUGCUCAAGGAACAAAUAUUUUAGUUCUAGAAAAUACAGUUAAGUUUGAAUUGCAUAUUUUAUCAUAUUGUUGUAGAUGACAUAUUCAUGGUUAUUAUUUCCUUGCUUUUAAGUUAAGUAUAACAGUGUCGAACUUCAUGUUAAUGUGAAACUUCAACCCUUCUCGUAUAUAGUCAUUAACAUUUCUAUUGUUUUUUGUUUUUGUUUUUUUUUGGCCUAAAUAAGGUGUACCAAUUUGUUAGAAUGUAUUAGAACAGCUUUUCUAUAUAUGCUGUACCAUAUAAUAUUAAUCUAUUGUAUAACUAUUAUUAAUAAUAAUAAUAAGAAUAGCACAUUCAAGCUGAAUAGUACAGUUAGGCAUAUUCUUGUAAUGAUAUGUGACUUGUCCACUAAAAUGAGUUAACAACAAAACUGCAUCAAACUUUAUUUUAAUCUCAGUUAAUUUUCAUCCUUCAUCAUUUUAGUAACAUCUGAGAUAUAAAGGAAUCCAGCAAUUUCAUUUUAAAUUAUUCAAUCAAGUUCCAAAAUAAAUCUCUUGUCAGAAAAUGAUCUUUAAUAUUCAAACAUACCACAGUGGUUAGUUCUACACCAUCAAAUAAAUCUGCUUAUAGUUAUUGUUUCACAAAAUAUGUUUUAUUCACUAUUGUAUUACAAACAAACAUUUACUGUAAACCUGUCAGAUGGGAUUUUCAUAUUAGUAUAAAUAAGCAUAUAAAAUAAAAUAUAUUUAGUAAAGAAAGAAAUACUUGGAAAAGAAUUUGAAGAUGAUGGCAGUUUAUGAUAGUCAUCGUCAGUAUCAAUUAAUUUCACCAUUUUUAUAUUUAUGAACAUCAGAUUCUGAAGUUUAGUAGGACCCAAACCCUGAGUUGAGUGUGAGUGUUAGACCUAGUGUGUCAAAUAUUUCUGCAUUUUUGUAACUGUCGCGGUCAUCUCAAGUGGCCCAGAUUUAAUGAGUUCUUUAAAGCUGCCUAUUAGAAAUUCCUCAGUAUUAUCAACGUCUAAAAUCUAGGAAUAGUAAAAUUCCAGUCUACAGUCAAAAUCAGUUUCCAGUAUUGUUGAAAGUUCUUAUAAAGUGGCCUUUCUGUGGGUUCCAACACUACUGCGAGAGUAGGCCAUUCAAUAUAUCUUCGAUGAGCAAAUGAUUGAGAUUCUUUGAUUGUUUUCAAAUCAUAUGUAAUCAUCAAAUAUAGCUUAAUAAAUUCCUUAAUUUAGCAAAAUACAAUCUAGUGUAUCAAGAUUUGAUUUUAAAAUAAUACUGACCUAAAGUUUUGAUUAGUGAGAUGAAGUGCACCUCACUACCCCGGGUAUUCUUUCCAACACAACAUGGAAAAAUGAAAUGAAAAGUAAAUUUAAAACUAGGAAUUAGGUUCUGUAUGCUCUUUGUGGAUUACUAUAAUUAAGACUGCCUAUGAGUCGUUCAGUAGCUGUGGUUAUGGUAUCUGAGAUUUUGGUCCAAGAAUCAGAUUUUGGACCUAAUAAAGUCUACUGCGUCAAGAAAAUGUCAAUAAUUUUCAGUAUACUAGUAGACAACAAUAAUCAAGUAGACAAAGUGCCAAAUCAAAGAUAAGCAAUUUGACUGAUAAAAACUCCAAAUCAAUCAAGCAGGAUGCCUAAUCAGAACUACCUAACCAGGUUUAAACCUAGUUAAUGUCACUAUGAUAUUGUUACCACCAUUAUCAAAUGAUUCAGCAUGUUACAAGUAUUGAAACUGAAGAAUAAGGUCAAACUGAAAACUUAAGAUCAGUUACAAUUAUUUUCAUGUAACUUAUAUGUAGCUGAAUAUGAGUUUCAAAAGCCAGUAAUUAUAAUUUUGGGCAUGUGAUCUUUUAAUAUGUUGUUUUAGAAGUAUACUGUAUGAUAUCACAAAUGUGAGUCACUGCAUGUCACACAAAGUGGUGUUUUACUUACUGCUACCAAAGACUUAUUUCCUUUCAGGAAUUCUGAUCUAGUAGUUUUCUUUGAAAAUGUUUGUGACAAUUUAGAAGUACAGGAAGACAAGAACAUCUCAAACUCUUACAAUUACUUAUCUCUGUUUGCCUCAUCUAAUGUUUGUGUUACAACUAUAAACCUACUUUUGAGAAAACUUACUUGAUGAAACAUUACAUCCUGAUGAUGGAAGCUUUUCAUGUUCCAACCUAUCACUUAAAUGAAUUAAAGGUGUACUGUAGUUGUAUUCCAGGGCUGAAAAAUAUUAUUUUCGAGGCCUGAACUAGUUUCCCCCAUUAUAUUUAUGUAUUGAAUAAAUUUGUAAUAGCUUCAUUGAGGUUACGAUUUCCUAGGUCUCAGGCUUAAAAACUAAGGUCAAAUCAACUUCUACUCUGGCAGUAUUUUACUUAUCAUGGAUGAUAGUGUCCAACGCUUGAGAUCAAAAUCUAUAGUGUAAGUUGGUUGAAGUAUUCUGCCCCUGAGCACAUUUCAUUCAGAGAUUAUUUAGGACUAUACCACCAACUUUCAUCUUGUAACACUACUGAUAUACUUCCCUACCCUUUCCACCAUUCUGCUGCUGAGGCUUUUAAAUAGAUGGUUGUACUGUUUAUCAUGGAUAAUAAACAUUUUAAAGCUGAGGAAGUAUUUUAAGUGUCGUAAGUGGUUUUCAGACCUAUUAAUUAUUGCUUAAAGGAGAGCAUUCUUAGGAGGAAAGAGGAAAGUUAAUGUCCAUGGUGAUUAUUCCUCUAUCCUAGCUGUCAAUAAUGAUUUAUAGACAACACUAUUUUUUGAAGUAUUCACCCCUUCCCCCACAAUCAAAUCUUUUUAGGUUUUUAUCAUUUUUUAUUUGUUUUAAAGUUAUUAAAUUUAUUAGUGAAAAUUCCUUAAUGCUUCAUAUUUUGAUUCACUCUUUGAAGAUGAACAACCUGACUGAUCUUAAUUGUAGUUUCCUCAAACAAACCCAUCAAAAUUUGCAGCCACACAAACAUGAUCAGAUAAAGAUUAAUCUGGUGAAGAAAGAAAUCUUCUCUAGACAUAUAAGUUGUUUCAUGAUCUGUUUAAUUCUUUUUCAUGUGGCAACUUCCUGAGUUGGUUGGAGUAUACCUGUGAAAGGAAUUUCAUGAGUUGAGAAAUGUAUGCAUGGUAAUGAUGUACUAGCACAAAAUAUAGCUUUGUGUUCAGGGGUACCUUUCACAUGAGUGAUCCUUUUAUUCUUCCCUCCUUUGAUGUGAAUCAGUAAUUAGAUUUACUAUCAGUGCAGUACAUUUUAAAAUUUUAAUUUGAUCAACGAUGACUUUUGCAAGGUUUUACGGUACUUGAAAAUAGUAUAUAAGCAGUAACUGUGUAACACUAAUAGUGUAGGAACCAAGAGCCAAUUUACAUUGUAUAAAGGUGCAUAUACAUUAGAAGCAAGCUUGGGUAAAUAAACUGGUGGUGCAUGCUUGUGCAAGCUUGCCUAAUCAGUGCUGUGGUCACUCUAGAAGCAAGCAAAUGAAAGUCGCUCCCAACAGUCAGUUGAAACGCAGCUGUCGGAUGAUGAAGACAUUGUGCUUGACAAUGAUGUUUUAAAUUUUUUGGGGUUAGAUAUGGAAAAAGUUAGAAAAGAGCGGGUGAAUGAAUAUUUUUGGACCGAAAUGAUAAUAAGGAGUAUGCUUGUUUUUUUCUAAACCUAUUUCAGCAACUAGAUAAGUUUCAUGAAUAUUUUAGGAUGAUGCCCAGACACAUUCUAUUACAUCUUGGAAAGAAUAACACGAAAAAAUAAUAAAGCAUUCCAAUUUCAGAAAAUAUGUAAGGCCUGAAGAAAAACUUAUGGUUACUUCAACUUAUGUAUAUAGCAACUCGAGACAAAUUUCAAGCAACUAUAAAAUGUAGUAGAUAAUACGCUGUCACUACUCCAAAACCAACUGAACAGUAGCAAGCUCGCCAGAAAAACAAAUCUAUUUGUUUCCUGAUCAGGAGUAGACAAGCAUGUGCAAGCGUGAACUAGCGAGUGGUGAGCACUGACAAGUUGCCGCUUGUUUCCAACACUUCUCUUCAAUUUUGUUUCUACAAGCAAGCUUACACCACCAGAUUACUUCUAAUGUAUACACGUCCUAAGCACACAAUUUAGUUUUUCCUCAAAUUGAUAGAUAAAUUUGUUUUGAAAAGAAAUAGAUCUUCAGCUGCACUAGCUUUGGUGGGAUUCAAAUGGGAGGGUAUCAAACGGGUUGGGUUAAAAACUUGAAAUGAUACUUUUUUCUCUAAUAUAAUGCUACUUUUUUCAAAUAUAAUCGUACUUUUUUAACUUGACAAAUUGAUUGACAGACAAGUAAAUGAAUGUUAAAUCAGUGUCAGCUAACCAUAUACUGACCUUAAUAUGUUGACUUUUAAUAUGUCUCUUUAUCUAUUUUGGUGAUGGUGAUAUAAUUAUUGUUUAUAUGUUAAUAGUACCUAGCUUGUAGAUCUUUCAAGCUAGGAAAAUAUGAUUUAAGGAAAAAUUAUCACUUCAUAUUUUUAACACUUUUGAUACCACCAUCCCAUUUCGACUAGUGUGGCUGAAAACUGAUUGCUUUCUUAGGAAACAUUCCUCUAUUGAUUUCAAGGAAAGCCAGGUUGUGUGCUUGUGCAGUGCAAGUUGGCUCUCAGCUCUUGUACUGUAUGUAACUCUCACACUCAGCUUGUACUAAGUAAGAUCUAACUUUUGCAAGUGUUCCAUGGGCAUUCAGACAAUUUUAGAUACGGUGUGGAGUAGGGAUGAAUGAGAACCUCACUUAACCCUUAUAAAACCACAAACAUAAUGUUCCUAAUGUUAGAGGCUACCAGUAGCAAUCAACGCAAAGUACUUACUUUGUCCUCUACCCAGAGGGUUAAAUUUUAAAUAAAAAUAAUUUUUGCUGCCACCCUAUACAGUUUUCUUGCUCCUUUGUAAAUUCAGUUUUUUUAUUUAAGAAAUUAACUAUGCAAGGGUGCUGACUAAUUCCUAGGAUGAUUAAAUUACUGUUUGAUGUGAACAUAAAGAAGUAUAUAAACUCAUUUUAUAGUUCUUAGUUGUUUGAAUGUAAGAAAAUAUUGAGAGAAGUAUUAACCAAGUUUUGAAUAAAGGAAAAGGUUUUUUUUUAAUACUAUUGUUAGAAAGUUUAACUCUGAAAAUCAAGUCAAUCUUGAAUGGAAACUGCUCAAUACUUGGAAACAUAAGAAUCUCUCUCAGGCAAAGUAAUUAAAGUUCUCAAGAUCCAACAUUUACAGAUUAAUAGUAUUUUAUUAGGGUUUUCUAUUUAAUAUGGAAUUUAAUUUAUCAAUAUUCACUUUUUUAGUAAUAUUGCACCAAUAAUUUUUAGUAUGGCAAUAACAUAAUUAAUUAUAAAGUCUUAUUUACCACCAGUUUCAUCUCAAUGACUGCAAAAGUUGAUUACUUUAGGUUAUUUAGUACAUAAAAUAUGUUUAGCGCUUUCAUUGAUUAAAUCCAAUUGCAGUUAAAAUUUAGUAAUUUAACAAAAAUUACAUAUUCCUUGUUAGAGAUACAAAGUGACUUCCAAACUUUGAAUGCAGUUACUACUUAAAAAAGAUUUAGUUAAACUAAUUUGAACACAUUAUCCAUAUUGAUUAUUAUCUUGUUAAUAUCACUGUAACAAUAUAUUACUAAUUUAUGAUUUUAUUAUAGAUGCUUAACAAUGCAUAUAUUUACUCAAAAAUUGUUCUUUACCUUGCAAACUAUGUGAAGUUAUGAGUAAAAUAUUUGAGAUAGGAUGAAUCUCUUGAAAGUAUUUUCUACUUUAAAGUGGAGAGACUCAUGAGCAGAAACUAUUGUAAAUCUUGACCUCUAUAUUCCUUGCAAGGACCAGUAAAUAGGCUGGCCCACUCCUUCCCCUCAAUAAUAUACAGCAUAUUUAAAAUUGUAUAAAAUGAAAGCUUAGUAGAAGUAGUAAUCCGUGAGAAUGGACUAGCUUCUAGUUCAACAUUCCUAAUUCAAAACCAUACUUUUUUAUACUUUGUUAUUGAUUAUUUUACUUCACGCUGUUGAAUGUUCUGGCAAACAAAUUCAUAGUCAUUGCAUUUAACGGAAAUUAAAAUUAAGUCAUACAGACAAAUACAAUAAGCAUGAAAUUUCCAAAAUUAACUUGAGUUAGACAUUUUGUAUUGGACGUACUUGUUACUAUCAUUUCCAACUGAUAAGCAUAAAAUUAGAUACUUCAUCGAUAAAAAAGUUAUUAAACUUUAAGAUAUUUUUUAGACAUAUAAAGUGAAUUUAAAACAAUAUAAAUAUAUAUUUUACUCAACAUAGUUUGGUUAAAAAUGUUUUUGUCCUCACCUCCCUUCUAACUGAAGCGUAGAUUUUUCCCUAACUUCCUAAUUGUGUUCGCAACAUCACAUCUUAUUCUGUUUGUUUGUCAAAGUCUAUAUUUCUUAUCCACAAUGAAAAUCAGCUUGUUUCACAAUACAGUCUCUUGGUUGUUUCACUAACUGUGUUAUUUACUUUAAACUGUUUGUUCUUGUAUUUUUCACUUAAGAAUUCGUAUAUGAGUCUCCAGUACCUCCUACAUGUUGCUACUAUCCAUGUCAGCAGCAUUUCUGUAUAUUGUUUGUUGUUAUUGUUAGAAGUUUAGUAUAUAACUCUAUAUGUAUGAUAACAGUGUUAGAUUUAAUUUGUUUUAACUUUUUCAAUUAAAUCUAUGAUUUACAUACAGCAUUUUAGGUUCUGACUGUUAUGUUUCUAUUAGUUUUUAAGAAUCGUGAGAACCUUUUUCUUCAAGGUAAGCCCCUGUUACACGUUGUCGGAUUUCAACAUGUUUGUUAAUUAACGUUCAUCUUAACGUCUAUAGUUAACAUUUGUUAGUUCUUUUAACAAUAACUCCUGAAUCAUUCUGUUCAUAUAAUAAGCAAAGGUUAAUGCAUUUUUGUUAUAAAUUGUUUUUAUAACUUUUUUAACAUCUUUUCAUCUUUUAUACUACAAUAAAAUGGUUAAUCUACAUUUAUGCAUAUAGUCUAUUUAACCUAACUUCAAUAUUUGUAAUUUAGUAUCACACAAAAGUAAAAGUACUACUCCAAUACUGAAUUUAAGUUGAAUAAAUAACAAUAUACUUUUUGUUUGUAUAUCAACCAUUUUAUUCUUCCUCUACAAUCUCAAGAUGGCUUUAUAUUAUGGAUACAGAUAAUCCUAAUUAUAAGACAUUUAUCACGGAUAAUUCUUUUCUGUUAUGGGCUUCCCAGGGGUUUUCUCCUUUCAAGUCUUCCACACUAUCUAUGACACCUAUUUCCACUGAUCUAUAGUUAUUGUUCUACUUAGUAGGACCCCACCUACAUUUUUUAAUUUUAUUUUGUUACAAAGAUCAAUGAGAUGGGUGCAGCUAUACGCAAUGAAUAUAAUAUAUAAUCUUUUUUAAUAAUUUCAAACAAUAAGCUGUUGUUGUGUUAUAAUUCAUUUAAAAAUAAACUUAAUGGCUCAGCCAUUUUUCCAAUAAAAUCAUAUUAAAAGUACAAUAGUGACAAAGGUAUAUUGUCAUGUUAAGAAUGUGUGAACAUAUUUGUCAUGACAAUUUAACUGUCCAAUAAUACUUAGAUAAUUAGAAGUCUCAUAUUAGUAAAAGCAGAAAUGGCUGGAUAAGCACAAUCUUCUCAACUCCGCAAGACUCAGUACAAAACAAUAACUUCAUCAGUUAAUAUUAAAAUGCACUUGCAGUGAGUAUUAUUAUUUUAUUUUAAGUAGUACUUUGUUUUGGCUGGUAUCUGACUUUUUAUUGAACCAAAUGCAGGUAUUUUAAAUUGAUGUUAAAUAAUCACUUACUGUUAAACUGUUUAUUGUACAUUGUGCUAUUGUUGUUCUUUAAGUGAUGAGUAACAUAUCAACAUUAGUAAUUAACAUUCAUGUAAUGUACAGCAUAUUGGUUACGCUUUUCAAUCUGUGUUUAUAUUUAUUUGAUGUUUUUAAUGUAGAUGAUAAAAGUUGUUUGUUACUGACGACUUAAGCAUAUAACAUUCUCAGCUAUGUAUGUUCUUAUUGAGUUGACUUUUUGAAUCCUUUAUGUUGAUACAUGUUAUUAAAUGGCCUUUAAUGGAGAUGUAUAUCUGUUCAAUAAACACUUUAAAAAUUUAUUGUAUAACAUGUUUAAAAGUUUUCCUUUAGAUGUAUUACCUAUACGUUGCUUGGAUAGUCUAUUACUAUAAUUUAAAUUUGUUCCAGUUUAGUACACAUUAGUGUUAAGAAUGUUUAUAAAGCCUAAAUGUAUUUUUGUAAAGCAAGUUUAUCAAAGUAUAUUUGUAUUGUAAUAUUUAUCCAAGACAUAAAGUGUAUAGACAUUACCAUCCUUUCUGGUGACAAUACUCGUUCCUUGAGGGUGAUUCCAAAUGGACUCUUUGCUUUUGAUUGUUAAGUUUUUGUUAAUACUAAAUAUUGUUGUUUUGUUGGAAUAAUAAAGUUAGAAAUCAAAA
Homalodisca vitripennis (glassy-winged sharpshooter) is the source of this 12935-nucleotide long non-coding RNA. RefSeq lists it as uncharacterized. The transcript is spliced from 2 exons. The record is from RefSeq and is a predicted model, not a curated record. NCBI's taxonomy places the organism in Eukaryota, Metazoa, Arthropoda, Insecta, Hemiptera, Cicadellidae.